GCCAUGCCCUGUGCCUACCCUCCCCACUCUGACCAAGUCUAAGCAGGUGAAAAGGAGGGCUUGGCCUCCAGUGGGAGCUCAGCAAGGCCUCUCAAGGGUCUGGAGGACAAGGGCACCCUUCUCUAGCCCCCUGCCUGGCCCUGGGUGUUUGCAUUCGGACAUGUGCUGUGGCAGAGGCAGCACCGGGGCACUGGAUGCCCCAUUCGGAGUUGUAUCUCUUCUCCUAGAGGAAAGGGAAUCCAGGGACAUGAAUUCUCUCUCAGUGACUCACCUCUGAGCCCUGUCAGGUCUCUCCGGGCCUCGGAUUCCUCUGUGGUGACAUGGAAAUACUAACAGGGCUGCCCCCUCCUUGAGGAGCUGUGGAAUUAGAGAAUGAGCCUGCACAGAAAUGUCCACGGUUCUGGAGAAGGAAAAUCAGGAAAGAUGUGCCUGCCCCGCCUUCCAAGAGCUUCCAGCCUGGGAGGAGAAGCAGCCUGAAGGAGAAUCCAGGGCAAUACGCCCUGUUCCAGGUGCUGCAAUUGAGGUCUACUCAGCCCACCACAGAGCACCGGGGAGCAGCCUCUUGGCCCAAGAGCCUUGCUGCAAGUCUGGUGACAAGCUGGGAGAGCUGACAGCAAAAGGAGCUGAGGCCCAGAGUAGAGAGGCGGCACUGUGAGGAGACGCUUCGUCAUUAGAAUGCAGCACGAUUCCGCAAGCCUUUCUCCAGUGCCCAGGCCACUCUUGCCAAGCGCUGUGUGCAGAGCUGCAGGGAACAGGGCAGGACAAGGUGCCCAGAACCAAGAGUCCCGGGAAGACAAGGAGAUGCUUGUCGGGGUUCUGGGAACCGGCAGAGGCCGCAGGGCCCAGGGCAGGCCCGGGCUACGCAAGGAGCUCCAGUUCCCGGGGAGGGCCCCUGGGAGUCCGAGACCAGCCCCCCAGCCCUCAGCGCCCCCACCCACUGUCCUUUCUGCCUGACUCUCUCUUCCCUGGCUUUAAAGGAGCGAUCAUUAAUUCUUUUCUCUGUCAAUCCACAAAGGCAGAGACACCUCCUACUAAAUGGGGAGGAUGAGGAGGAUGGGAGCAGAGCGAGGAGGAAAUGGAGGUCUCUAUGAUGCACCUCUAAGUUAUUCUUGCUCCUGCCCUCUGGGAGCUCACAGUCUAAUUGGGGAGACAGAUAUAGUUGCCACCACCCAUGAUGCAAUCAGAUAUAGAGGCUAAGUGGCGUUUGUACUUAGUAACAUGAGAGAAGCGCAUUGAGGGAAAUUCACAGUAGCUAACACAUCUAGCAUCAACCUCACCCCAGGUACUGUACUAAGUGGUUGACAUGCAUUCACUCAUUUCCUCCUCAUCACAGCUCUGAGGCAGGUGCUAGUGCUAGCCCUAUUUGACAGAUGAGGAAACUGAGGCACAGAGACGUUGAGUAACUUGCCCAAGGUCACACAGGUGGAACCAAGAUUUGUCCCUAGUGGCCUGACUCCAGAGUCUAUGCCUUUAACCACCAGGCCAGACUAAAGGAGUAAUGGCAUCUCUUUGGUCUUUGCAGUAGCACUGGUGAGUGCUGGAGAGCACAGCACUCUGGGUCGAGCAGACCUGCAGUGGUCAUCAGGUGGCGUUGCACAACUUCCGUGCCCUUUCUAAGCUUCAGUUUCCUCUCCAAUAAAAUGCAGAGAGCAGCAGUAUAGCACCUUCCUCCCAGGGCUGCCAGGAGGAGUAAAUGAGCAGAGAUGUGUGGAGAUCUUAGCCCAGGGCCCGCGCAGAGCAGAUGCACGCAGACAUUGCUCCAUUUACACAGGCCUUUGAGAGCUGCAAGACCCUUCCACGCUCAUUCAGUAGACUUGACAGAGAAGAAGCUGGAGAGAUGAGGGCUUUGGGAAUGGCUUCUGAGGAGGGGCAGUGCUUGUCUCACUAGAAUAGCCAGGUCCCCAGAGAUCUCUCCCUAUUCCCGAAUCCUGGCUUGAUCUCAUUCCCAGACUUCCAAGCCAUCACACAAGGGCAUUGAUCACCUCCCCUUGCAUCAGGGAUAGUGCAAGGCUCAGCAGCCCCCAGCGUUCAGGAACCAAUGGCCUCAAGUCAGCUGACAUUCAGAUGAAGGACCCAGAGAGUGAGGGAGGACAGGCCCUGGAGUUGGGGAGGGGAGGAGCCUCUAUCCCCACCCCAUACUGUUGAGGAGCUACAGAGCCUGCCUGGGACUCACUCCCCACAAGAAAGCCACCCCCACGCCAUCGCCCUCUGCACAGAUUUGCAGAUGGUUCCCUGAUGCGACCUAGGGCCCUCUCUGGCUGGCAUCCACCAGCCUCAGAUGCAACUGGGAGAAAAUAAUGUGUAAAUGAGAGCUGAAACCUGCACUGCAGUGGGCAGGUAAAAGCCAGCUCCCUCUUGGGCUUCAACCCUGGGCUUCUACCCACCUCUGUGACCUUGCAGCUCUGUGACCUUGUGGCUCUGUGACUCUGCAGCUCUGUGACUGCACUGGCUCUUCCUUUAGUGAGCACCCUUGCAUACCCCAUUUUGCCUGCCUGGAAAUAUCAGCUUUCAGCCCCAUCUCUCCCAUGGCACUUUGUCUGAUGAACACUCCACCCACCCUAUGUCACACACAUGCACAUGUACACACAUACACACACACACACACACACACAGAGAUUAACAUGUACUCUCCUGUCCUUAAGCCCAUGUGUGGCAUGUAUACACCUUUAUUGAAAAAGUACCACAUGGUGGUGUUACAUUUUUUUUUCUUUCACCUGUCUCCCAGUUCCAGUUACCUAUUGCUGCAUUUUUAAAAACCACCCAAAACUUCAUGGCUUAAAACAAUGACAUUUAUUUUGUUCACCAACCUGCAAUUUCAACAGGGCAUGAUGGAGACAGCUCCUUUCUCCUCCACUCAGUGCCAGCUGGGGCAGCUGAGAGUCUCGGUGGGAAGCACCCAAAGGCCCCCUGUCAUGUGCAGAGGCUCUCACUAUCUGUUGUUUGGGAUCUUGGCUGGAGCUGGGCCUCCUGGCAGGAAAGCGGGGCAAAUUAAAGGGAAUCUCACCCAUGAGGAACUCAGAAGCUCAUUGGAGGUGCUAAGAAAUGGCAGUUCCUCUUCUCUACCUUUUCCUGAUCUUUCACGGCCUCUGGAACGACAACAGUGCCCAGUCCAGGGCUUUCUCAGAUUCCUGAAGACAGAGCUUGGGAAGAAAGAGAUUGCCUGCUCUCUUAACCCCAGAUGGGAAGGUAGCAGAGAGCCCAGCCUACUCAGCCAUGCUCUCACUGUGGAGGGGACAGUGACUCACCAGUCUUUCUUCCUCAGCCUGGCAAGAAUAUCCCUCAACAUCAUCCAACUCCUGUUAUAUCACUUCCAUAGUUACUAAACCCUCCAGUGAACCCUUACUGCAUCACAGAGGACCCUAAAACCUAGUGGCUUAAAACAACAGCCAUUUUAUUAUCUUUCAUGAUGAUGGGGGUCAGGAAUUAGGGCAGGGCUCAGUUGGGUGAUUCUUCAGCAACACAUGGCAUUGAAUGGGGUCACUUGAUGAUAUUCAUCUAAUAACUGCUCUGGUCUGGAGGAUCCAAGAUGGCCCCACUCCUGUGCCAGGUGCCUUGGCAAGAGAGGCUGGAGGGCUGGCUCAGCAGAGCUUCUCUCCCUUUCCAUGUAGCAUUGUGACCCUUCCACGGGGUCUCUCCAGCAGUGUGGUCCAGUUUCUCACAUGGUGACUUGGAGCUCCAAGGGACCAAGGCAGGAGCCUUUGAAAAGUCUAAGCCUGACACUGGCGUGGCAUCACUUCUGCCAUCCUCCAUUAGUCAAAACACCUGGGGCCCAGCCCAGACUCAGGGAAGGGGUAACUGAUCCCACUUCUCCAUAGAAGAAGCCUCAAAGUUUCUGUGGUCCCUCUUUAAAUGGCCAGAGCCAAGCAAUCUUUGGACCCAGGGCCCAGGUUCUUGGGUAGGUCUGUCUGCCCAUUAGGAAGUUCUGUGCCCAAGGUCAAUCCAUUACUCACUCCAGACUGAACUUAUGGACUGAACUGUUCCCCUCAAAUUCAUAUGUUAAAGUCUCAACACCCAGGACCUCAGAAUGUGACCUUAUUUGGAGAUAGGGCCUUUACAGAGGUAAUCGAGUUAAAAUAAAGCUAUUAGGGUGGGCUUAAUCCAAUCUGACUGUUGUCCUCAUAAGAAGAGGGAACUUAGACACAGAGAGACACGAAGGUGUGUGUGCACAAAGGAAAGAGUGUGUCAGUACACAGUGGGAAGGCAAUCAUCUACAAGCCAAGGAAAGAGGCCUCCGAAGAAACCAACCCUGCAGAGACUUUGAUCUUGGACUUCUAGUCUCCAGAACUGUGAGAAAAUAAAAUUUCUGUUGCUUAAGCCCCCCAGUAAGUGGUAUUUUCUUAUGGCAGCCAAAGUAGACUAAUACAGAGCUCCUGCAGGUAAUUAAAACAUUGGCAUUUUGGACUCUA
This is a non-coding RNA of Chlorocebus sabaeus (green monkey), 4406 nucleotides long. The record is from RefSeq and is a predicted model, not a curated record. NCBI's taxonomy places the organism in Eukaryota, Metazoa, Chordata, Mammalia, Primates, Cercopithecidae.